GAACAAUAGAGAACCUGCUGCUGCUGUGAUUUUUUUUCAACUUUGAAACAAAAUUCAAGUCAACUUUCAUGGAAAAUAGAGAUAAAAGAGCUGCGCAGGUCAUACGUCUGGAAGAGUCAACUGCUUACUGAAGUAGUGGGAGAAAACGACAUAUAUUUAUAGACGUUGGCAGCUAGAGCGCCGACCAAUGAGCGUCUCACUGGAAGUGGCCCCGCCAAUCAGCGCACAGCAGGCAAAAGCUCGAAGUAUAAAAACUAACUUUUCUGGCGCGCACACUCAGUUCCAUCCUGGAGGUCAUUGAGGUAAAAUCUAUGUCGCUUGAAGAAAUUUUUUUUUGAAAAUUUUUAAUUUAGCAAGCAUCGACUUUCCCCCACUUUUUUGCAAUAGAAGAGGAGAAUUCAAGGACAAAUGAAAAAAGAAGACCUGCUAAGCACCAAGUUUGGCAAUACAGUGGAAAUUCAAAUUUGGAAACACUGACGUGAUGAUGAAAUGUGUUAAUUACAGGACGCAAAGAAGAGAAAGAACUUUUGCGGAAUUGGGACUCUCUACUGUUUUCAAUUUUCUGGUGAGGCGGGGUCUAUUUUGUACAACAUAGACGAAACUUGGUUUCGCGACAAGAAAAGUUGGUCUAAUUCUCGAAUUGUAACUAAAUUACAUUGGUUUAAAAUCCACUUUUCCUGCGCAACUUUUCUUCUCUCUGAUAUUAAACCACCGGAUCUUAAAAUAAUAAGAACAUAAUGCAUUAUUCAAUGCAAAUGUUACAAGGAAGUCGAUAAUUGGACGUGCCAAGGAGCCAUUGAAUGUAGCGCACAAUGUCGUCUGGCAUCGAUUUUCAAUAGUCGGUUUUGACAGUCACUUUCAUUUUGGAAUAUAAUGCGCUUCCGAUGCUUACAGGGCGAAAGAAAUUAUCCGACAUUUUACAGAAAGACGUCUUCUUCGUGCAAGUCAACUUUUUGAAAAGGAGAAACGAAAAAUUGAAAAACGUCAAUGAAGAAAUUUAACAAUUUUGAUGGAUCAAGUUUCUAAUCAAUUUCGAAUACUUAACGCUCUGGACUCUAUAUUUCUGCACGAAACUCGACAUUCUGCUAAAAAAAAAAAACAGGAAAAAAGGAAAAUGUUUGAUGCAAAAUAUAGAAACGGAUUCCUUUCAUGUGGGGAAUUUUUGGAAAGAAAUUCACAAUUUUGGAAAAGAAAUUUUGAAGAUUUAACAAAUGAGGAAAAGCAAAAUAUGAUGAAGAAUGGAUAAAGACGACUUUUUAUUCAAAUGAAACAAACUUGCAGAUAAGAAAGGACCAUAAUAAAGUAAUGCAUUGUGCAUGUCGACUAUUUUAUAUCUUUUGCUCUAUAUGCCAAGCAUUCAUCAUACAACGUGAACAAACAAGCUCACAGUUAUUCAAGCAGUCGUAAAUGGACAGAAAGAAGAAUACAAAAAUAGGAUUCAACAUACUUCUGGUUUCUGCAAAAAGGAGAAUUUUCCUCAACUGAAGAAAGAUGGAGAGAAAAAUUUCCCACAACAUUUUCAGUCUUCAACAACGUUGGAAUCAUCGAUCGGUGAGUCAUUUACUGGCAAAAAAUUAUACUUAAAAAAGCUUUUCAUGUAUUUUGGGACAAUUUUCAAUUAUUAAAUUAGCAAAAAAUUUAUAAUUAAUAUUAAAAAAAAUUUUUUUAAUUAUUUAUUAAAAAAUCGAAAAGUAAAAAAAUCUAUUUUAAGGGCAUUUCCACGAGAACAAUUGAAUUUUCGUUCGUGCGUCACGAUGACUAAAACGGCUGUAUCUUUUUUCAAUUUUCUUAUAAAAUUGGAAACGUUUCUAUUUUGUUAUCUUUUUGCAACGAACAAAAAAAAAUUUUAUUUUAUAAUAAUUUCAAAAAAAAAAAGUUACAGACAAAUUUAGGCUUCGUGACGCAUGGACAGAAUGUCCGCUUUUUCAUGGAAAUGUCCUUAAGACAAAAUAAAUAAUAAUAAUAAAUAUUAAUUAAAAUUUUACUAUUGUAGGUAUUAAAAUUAUUGAUUAAAAAUUUUGGAUAAUUAUAUUAAAAUUGUUGAUCCGAAAAUUAUAAUUUUUGAAAAUAAUUUUAUAAAUAGUAAUAAUUAAAGUUAAAUGUCUUUGAUUAAUUUUUAUGAAUAUUAAAAAUUAUUCGUUUGAUUACUAAAUGAUUGCAAAAUUACUUAUUGGCUAUUAGAUAUAGUACACGCCUGUAAGUUAAGCUGAUGAUUAAUCAAAUACAACAUGAUGUUGUCCCAACAAUACAUGAUCUGCUUGCUUUGAUGCAAUUAGAUAGAAGAGCUUUAGCUGCUUGGUUAGCCAAAGAUCAACCAUCUGCCGUCUACAGACCUUUAAUUUAUUCGUUAGUUUAUAUAUACAAUAUCGAGAAUACACCUGCGAUUAUCCCUCGUGUAUAGGGAAAAAAAAAAAUUUACAACUGGAAAAUUAAUAUCAUUAUAUUAGCCCCAUUAUAAAACAAAUAUUUGAAAUUUUCUAUGCUGCAAAAAAAUUUGUUUUCAAUUCUUUUUUUGAAAUUUUUAAUAAAA
Molecule: long non-coding RNA, 2530 nt
Organism: Leptopilina boulardi
Lineage: Eukaryota; Metazoa; Arthropoda; Insecta; Hymenoptera; Figitidae
Exons: 9
Source: RefSeq, a predicted model, not a curated record